GACGAACGCUGGCGGCGUGCUUAACACAUGCAAGUCGAGCGGAAAGACCCGGCGUUUGUUGGGUGCCCGAGUGGCGAACGGGGGAGUAACACGUGAGGAACCUGCCCUUGACAUUGUGGUAACAUCAGGGAACUGCGGCGAAUACCGGGUAGGAUCUCCUGCUGCGUGGGGUGGGUUGGAAAGUGUCGGCGGUGGGGGCUGGACUCGCGGCUUAUCAGCUGGUUGGGCGGGUAGGUGCUGACCAAGUGUUUGACGGGUAGCCGGCCUGAGAGGGUGAACGGCCACCUUGGGCCUGCGAUACGGACCAGAAUCGUACCGGCGGCAGUAGUGGGGAACCUUGCACAACGGGCGGACGUCUGAUGUAGCAACGCUGCGUGCGGGAUGCUGUCCUUCGGGUUGUAAACCGAUUUCGAAGGUGCUGAAGACUGAUUGACGGUAAUGGGUAAAGAAGCCCCGGCUAACUACGUG
RNAcentral lists this ribosomal RNA (468 nucleotides) under uncultured bacterium. Its description in RNAcentral is "partial 16S ribosomal RNA". It matches the Rfam family "Bacterial small subunit ribosomal RNA", at positions 28 to 507 of the family's 1533-position model. The record is from RNAcentral.